GAAUGAACAGCUGGCACUGGAGGGCCCCAGCAGAGCUCAUCUCAGAGCAGCCACAGGAGAAUGAAGAGCUACAUGUUUCAUUGCUGUUGUUAUGACCAGUUUCAGUAGAUGUGAUAAUGGCCACCUAUGAGGAGAAAGCUACAGUUGUGUAUGGAUCAACGUCCAGGAAGGUAUGGGAGCUGCAGUUCGUUUAGUAGCCCUUCCAAUAGAGAAGAACCUGCAAAGUGCUUUCCAGGCGUGGAGUUACUCCUGUGGUGACAGGGGAGUGGUCAGAGAAAGCAGGCAACGCUGACUCGUGCAGGUAAAGCAAGCAAGUUGUGUGGCACUGAGUUGGAUGCCCGGGAGAGAUGCAGUGGCAGAGCGCCCAUCGUUGGAAGCACAGUUUGGCAGUUUCCUGUGUUGCCCAAGGAACUGGGACUGCCCGGGCAGAGAGCUCAAGGUUGUCUUACAGCUGAAGGAGGGAAAAUAGAGCAGCAACAACUGAGGCAAGCUUUCAUCAGAGGUAAGCAUGUGUAUGAGCUGGGAGAUGCCGUGUAGAGGAACACAGAAAGGAG
Molecule: long non-coding RNA, 554 nt
Filed under: Gallus gallus (chicken)
Lineage: Eukaryota; Metazoa; Chordata; Aves; Galliformes; Phasianidae
Description: lncRNA (ENSGALG00010006409.1)
Source: RNAcentral